This 64-nucleotide transfer RNA is filed under the name Anolis dolichocephalus. RNAcentral's name for it is "tRNA-Cys". Lineage: Eukaryota; Metazoa; Chordata; Lepidosauria; Squamata; Anolidae. The record is from RNAcentral.
AGCCCCGGGGUGUUCCACAUCAAAAUGCAAGUUUGAAGAAGAGCCCUAAAAGGCUCCGGGGCUU